GGGUUGUGAGGUUAAGCGACUAAGCGUACACGGUGGAUGCCCUGGCAGUCAGAGGCGAUGAAGGACGUGCUAAUCUGCGAUAAGCGCCGGUAAGGUGAUAUGAACCGUUAUAACCGGCGAUUUCCGAAUGGGGAAACCCAGUGUGACUCGUCACACUAUCAUUAACUGAAUCCAUAGGUUAAUGAGGCGAACCGGGGGAACUGAAACAUCUAAGUACCCCGAGGAAAAGAAAUCAACCGAGAUUCCCCCAGUAGCGGCGAGCGAACGGGGAGGAGCCCAGAGCCUGAAUCAGCAUGUGUGUUAGUGGAAGCGUCUGGAAAGGCGCGCGAUACAGGGUGACAGCCCCGUACACAAAAGCGCAUGUGCUGUGAGCUCGAUGAGUAGGGCGGGACACGUGGUAUCCUGUCUGAAUAUGGGGGGACCAUCCUCCAAGGCUAAAUACUCCUGACUGACCGAUAGUGAACCAGUACCGUGAGGGAAAGGCGAAAAGAACCCCGGCGAGGGGAGUGAAAAAGAACCUGAAACCGUGUACGUACAAGCAGUGGGAGCCCCACCACCAAAGCAUUCUAUGGUGUUGAAGGCCCUGCAAAGCAGCAUCGCGGUGGCGGAGCGUCGUUUGCGACGCCCAACACACAAAACAAGCGGUGAGUGCUUUGGGGUGGGGUGACUGCGUACCUUUUGUAUAAUGGGUCAGCGACUUAUAUUCUGUAGCAAGGUUAACCGAAUAGGGGAGCCGGAGGGAAACCGAGUCUUAAUUGGGCGUUAAGUUGCAGGGUAUAGACCCGAAACCCGGUGAUCUAGCCAUGGGCAGGUUGAAGGUUGGGUAACACUAACUGGAGGACCGAACCGACUAAUGUUGAAAAAUUAGCGGAUGACCUGUGGCUGGGGGUGAAAGGCCAAUCAAACCGGGAGAUAGCUGGUUCUCCCCGAAAGCUAUUUAGGUAGCGCCUCGUGAAUUCAUCUCCGGGGGUAGAGCACUGUUUCGGCUAGGGGGCCAUCCCGGCUUACCAACCCGAUGCAAACUGCGAAUACUGGAGAAUGUUAUCACGGGAGACACACGGCGGGUGCUAACGUCCGUCGUGAAGAGGGAAACAACCCAGACCGCCAGCUAAGGUCCCAAAGUCAUGGUUAAGUGGGAAACGAUGUGGGAAGGCCCAGACAGCCAGGAUGUUGGCUUAGAAGCAGCCAUCAUUUAAAGAAAGCGUAAUAGCUCACUGGUCGAGUCGGCCUGCGCGGAAGAUGUAACGGGGCUAAACCAUGCACCGAAGCUGCGGCAGCGACACUGUGUGUUGUUGGGUAGGGGAGCGUUCUGUAAGCCUGUGAAGGUGGCCUGUGAGGGUUGCUGGAGGUAUCAGAAGUGCGAAUGCUGACAUAAGUAACGAUAAAGCGGGUGAAAAGCCCGCUCGCCGGAAGACCAAGGGUUCCUGUCCAACGUUAAUCGGGGCAGGGUGAGUCGACCCCUAAGGCGAGGCCGAAAGGCGUAGUCGAUGGGAAACGGGUUAAUAUUCCCGUACUUGGUGUUACUGCGAAGGGGGGACGGAGAAGGCUAUGUUGGCCGGGCGACGGUUGUCCCGGUUUAAGCGUGUAGGUGUGUGUUCCAGGUAAAUCCGGUUCACUUUAACACUGAGGCGUGACGACGAGGCACUACGGUGCUGAAGCAACAAAUGCCCUGCUUCCAGGAAAAGCCUCUAAGCAUCAGGUAACAUCAAAUCGUACCCCAAACCGACACAGGUGGUCAGGUAGAGAAUACCAAGGCGCUUGAGAGAACUCGGGUGAAGGAACUAGGCAAAAUGGUGCCGUAACUUCGGGAGAAGGCACGCUGACACGUAGGUGAAGUGAUUUACUCAUGGAGCUGAAGUCAGUCGAAGAUACCAGCUGGCUGCAACUGUUUAUUAAAAACACAGCACUGUGCAAACACGAAAGUGGACGUAUACGGUGUGACGCCUGCCCGGUGCCGGAAGGUUAAUUGAUGGGGUCAGCGCAAGCGAAGCUCCUGAUCGAAGCCCCGGUAAACGGCGGCCGUAACUAUAACGGUCCUAAGGUAGCGAAAUUCCUUGUCGGGUAAGUUCCGACCUGCACGAAUGGCGUAAUGAUGGCCAGGCUGUCUCCACCCGAGACUCAGUGAAAUUGAACUCGCUGUGAAGAUGCAGUGUACCCGCGGCAAGACGGAAAGACCCCGUGAACCUUUACUAUAGCUUGACACUGAACAUUGAGCCUUGAUGUGUAGGAUAGGUGGGAGGCUUUGAAGUGUGGACGCCAGUCUGCAUGGAGCCGACCUUGAAAUACCACCCUUUAAUGUUUGAUGUUCUAACGUGGACCCGUAAUCCGGGUUGCGGACAGUGUCUGGUGGGUAGUUUGACUGGGGCGGUCUCCUCCUAAAGAGUAACGGAGGAGCACGAAGGUUGGCUAAUCCUGGUCGGACAUCAGGAGGUUAGUGCAAUGGCAUAAGCCAGCUUGACUGCGAGCGUGACGGCGCGAGCAGGUGCGAAAGCAGGUCAUAGUGAUCCGGUGGUUCUGAAUGGAAGGGCCAUCGCUCAACGGAUAAAAGGUACUCCGGGGAUAACAGGCUGAUACCGCCCAAGAGUUCAUAUCGACGGCGGUGUUUGGCACCUCGAUGUCGGCUCAUCACAUCCUGGGGCUGAAGUAGGUCCCAAGGGUAUGGCUGUUCGCCAUUUAAAGUGGUACGCGAGCUGGGUUUAGAACGUCGUGAGACAGUUCGGUCCCUAUCUGCCGUGGGCGCUGGAGAACUGAGGGGGGCUGCUCCUAGUACGAGAGGACCGGAGUGGACGCAUCACUGGUGUUCGGGUUGUCAUGCCAAUGGCACUGCCCGGUAGCUAAAUGCGGAAGAGAUAAGUGCUGAAAGCAUCUAAGCACGAAACUUGCCCCGAGAUGAGUUCUCCCUGAGACUUUAGGUCUCCUGAAGGAACGUUGAAGACGACGACGUUGAUAGGCCGGGUGUGUAAGCGCAGCGAUGCGUUGAGCUAACCGGUACUAAUGAACCGUGAGGCUUAACCUUACAACGCCGAAGCUGUU
RNAcentral lists this ribosomal RNA (3033 nucleotides) under Salmonella enterica subsp. enterica serovar Reading. RNAcentral describes it as "23S ribosomal RNA". It matches the Rfam family "Bacterial large subunit ribosomal RNA". The record is from RNAcentral. Lineage: Bacteria; Pseudomonadati; Pseudomonadota; Gammaproteobacteria; Enterobacterales; Enterobacteriaceae.